AUUGAACGCUGGCGGCAUGCCUAACACAUGCAAGUCGAACGGCAGCACGGCAGUAGCAAUACUGUGGGUGGCGAGUGGCGGACGGGUGAGGAAUACGUCGGAAUCUGCCCAGUCGUGGGGGAUAACUAGCCGAAAGGUUAGCUAAUACCGCAUACGACCGAGAGGUGAAAGCGGGGGACCGCAAGGCCUCGCGCGAUUGGAUGAGCCGACGUCGGAUUAGCUAGUUGGAGGGGUAAAGGCCCACCAAGGCGACGAUCCGUAGCUGGUCUGAGAGGAUGAUCAGCCACACUGGAACUGAGACACGGUCCAGACUCCUACGGGGAGGCAGCAGGUGGGAAUAUUGGACAAGUGGGCGCAAGCCUGACUCCAGCAAUGCCGCGUGUGUGAAGA
This 390-nucleotide ribosomal RNA is filed under the name uncultured bacterium. RNAcentral's name for it is "bacterial SSU rRNA". It matches the Rfam family "Bacterial small subunit ribosomal RNA", at positions 29 to 411 of the family's 1533-position model. The record is from RNAcentral.